Molecule: ribosomal RNA, 542 nt
Filed under: uncultured fungus
Lineage: Eukaryota; Fungi
Description: eukaryotic LSU rRNA
Rfam family: 5.8S ribosomal RNA (bases 200-353)
Source: RNAcentral
AAGUCGUAACAAGGUCUCCGUUGGUGAACCAGCGGAGGGAUCAUUACAGAGUAUUAUACUCACCAAAACCAUUGUUUAUCUACCUACAUUGGCUUCUCCGGCAGGAGGUUCCAGGGCGGGACCAAGCCUAACAGCACCUGCCGAAGGGGCAACCCACUGCUCUAUAUUAUACUGUCUGAGUACCAAAAACAAAUAUCAAAAUUUUCAAUUGUGGAUCUCUUGGUUCUGGCAUCGAUGAAGAUCGCAGCGAAAUGCGAUAAGUAAUGUGAAUUGCAGAAUUCAGCGAACCAUCGAAUUUUUGAACGCACAUUGCGCCCAUUAGUAUUCUAUUGGGCAUGCCUAUUCGAGCGUCAUUUCCACCCUCAGGCUUCGCCUGGUAAUGGGGUCUUGCGAUUGCAAACCCUAAAAAUUAGUGGCGGGCGUGCUGAAAACCCGAGCGUAGUACUACUCCUCGCUAUGGGCUACAGUGCUGUCCUUGCCGUAAACCCCCCCUAUAAUGACAAGGUUGACCUCGGAUUAGGUAGGAAUACCCGCUGAACUUA